Molecule: transfer RNA, 74 nt
Filed under: Chondrus crispus (carragheen)
Lineage: Eukaryota; Rhodophyta; Florideophyceae; Gigartinales; Gigartinaceae
Description: tRNA-His
Rfam family: tRNA
About the family: Transfer RNA (tRNA) molecules are approximately 80 nucleotides in length.
Source: RNAcentral
GGCGAAGCGAGCGCGGUAGGUUUGAGCAUCAGAUUGUGAAUCUGAAGGACGUGGGUUCGAAUCCCAUUCUUCGC